This 208-nucleotide long non-coding RNA is filed under the name Citrus x clementina. RNAcentral describes it as "Citrus clementina (C. clementina) long non-coding RNA (CCLE_LNC000295)". Lineage: Eukaryota; Viridiplantae; Streptophyta; Magnoliopsida; Sapindales; Rutaceae. The record is from RNAcentral.
UCUCGUCCCCAACCACUCGUUCUCGUUAGUCACUUCGUCCCCUCCACUUGUUCUUCAUGCGUUCCUUUCUCCACUCGUCCAUGUCACCAUCCAACGCUGCAGACAGUAUCCUUUCUCGUCCCCAAUGCCUGCUAAAGAUCGAUCUACAACAUAAAUGAUCGAUUUACAAUGGAGCCGCCACCAACAGAACAACCGAUAGAGUCACCGC